This 96-nucleotide ribosomal RNA is filed under the name Oscillospiraceae bacterium. RNAcentral's name for it is "partial 16S ribosomal RNA". It matches the Rfam family "Bacterial small subunit ribosomal RNA", at positions 1 to 105 of the family's 1533-position model. Lineage: Bacteria; Bacillati; Bacillota; Clostridia; Eubacteriales; Oscillospiraceae. The record is from RNAcentral.
AAACGGAAGAGUUUGAUCCUGGCUCAGGACGAACGCUGGCGGCGUGCCUAACACAUGCAAGUCGAACGGGUGUAGCAAUACAUCAGUGGCGGACGG